UACGUAGGUGGCGAGCGUUGUCCGGAUUUACUGGGCGUAAAGAGCGCGCAGGCGGUCGAUCAAGUCGAGUGUGAAAGCCCCCGGCUCAACUGGGGAGGGUCAUUCGAUACUGAUCGACUCGAAGGCAGGAGAGGGUAGUGGAAUUCCCGGUGUAGUGGUGAAAUUCGUAGAUAUUCGGAAGAACACCAGUGGCGAAGGCGGCUCACUGGACCGGCAUUGACGCUGAGGUGCGAAAGCGUGGGGAGCAAACAGG
This 253-nucleotide ribosomal RNA is filed under the name uncultured bacterium. Its description in RNAcentral is "partial 16S ribosomal RNA". It matches the Rfam family "Bacterial small subunit ribosomal RNA", at positions 524 to 776 of the family's 1533-position model. The record is from RNAcentral.